RNAcentral lists this ribosomal RNA (416 nucleotides) under Calaphidius watanabei. Its description in RNAcentral is "partial 16S ribosomal RNA". The record is from RNAcentral. Lineage: Eukaryota; Metazoa; Arthropoda; Insecta; Hymenoptera; Braconidae.
UUACGCUGUUAUCCCUAAGGUAAUUUAUUUUGUAAUACUAAAUUUUAGGAUUAUAAAUUCAUUAAUUAAUGAUAUUUUUACUUAAAAGUUUUUUUAAUUAUAAAAUUACCCCAAUUAAAUAUUAAGUAUUAAUUUAUAUUAUAGGUAUUAUAAGUUUAAUUAUGAUUAAUAUAAAAUUCUAAAGGGUCUUCUCGUCUUUUUAUUAUAUUUAAGAAUUUUGACUUAAAAUUUAAUUUUAAUUUUAUUUUUAUUUUAUAUAUUUAUAUUUCAUUCAAUCUUUCAUUCUAGUUUUCAAUUAAAAAACUAAUUAUUAUGCUACCUUUGUACAGUUAUUGAUACUGCAGCCAUUUAAAUUACCAUUGGGCAGAUUAGACUUAAAAUUAUUUUCAAUAAGACAUGUUUUUGUUAAACAGGCG